AUAGAGGAGCUCACCACGAUCUCGUCCAAGCGCUUGGUUGGGUCGAAGAGAGAGCAGAGAUGGCGUGCGAGGUGGCGGCUCGAUUUUGGAACUCGGCGAGAUCCAAAAACGUAGAUAGAUGUGGCUAGGGCUUCCCGAGGUGCAAUUGAUGGAAAGGAAAUACGCGGUUGGCUCCACAAUGCUUAAAUAGGACUCAGGGGGAUCAAAUCCCUGAGAAACCAAGGUUUGCUACUGGCUGGAUCAAGUCCGCCUCGUCCCCGACCGGUUGAGAAGAAGGCAGUCGGCUGUCAGGUGGGUCCCAGGCGACAGCGGUUCAGAGAGAGAAGGAGGUCAGCGCGUGAGGGGGAAAGAAAUUGGGUCGCACCCUGGGCUAAGGCGAGGGGGAGAGGGGGGAAAAUGCUAACUGGGCCACGAGAGGGGGCUGGGCCGGUUCUGCUGCUGCUGCUGUGCUGGCUGGCCUACUCGGCUGGGCCAAGAGCUGGGCCGGGGUGAAAGGAGAGAAGGGUUGGGGGAAAGAAGAGAGAACCCAGGCCUUCGGGCCAAAACCAGGGGUGGCUUUCUCCCUUUUCUUUUUUUUUUAUUUUUUUCCAAAGCCUUUUUCAAAAGGAUUUUGAGGACAAUUAACUACAAACCAAAAGCAAUCAACACAGAACAAAAUAUGUUUUAUCAUGAAUGCACACUCAAGUUUAAUAAUCUUAUGAUGAAUUUUAAUUUCAACAAAAAUUUGUUUAUUUACUAAAUUAAAUGCUCACAAAAAUACUUAAAUAAAUCCAAUUAAACCCUAUUAAUUCAAAAGAAAUUUUUGGGUGUUAUAAAUUCAUGUAGGGUAAGUGUCACAUAAGAUAAAUAUAUGAAUAUGAAUAAUAAGUGACAGAUGAUAAAUAAAAAUUCAUAGCCAU
Molecule: long non-coding RNA, 899 nt
Filed under: Sorghum bicolor (sorghum)
Lineage: Eukaryota; Viridiplantae; Streptophyta; Magnoliopsida; Poales; Poaceae
Description: long non-coding RNA (SBIC_LNC015672)
Source: RNAcentral